UGCCAGCAGCCGCGGUAAUACAGAGGUCCCAAGCGUUGUUCGGAUUCACUGGGCGUAAAGGGUGCGUAGGCGGUGGGGUAAGUUUGAGGUGAAAUCUCCGGGCUCAACCCGGACAAGCCUUGAAUACUAUCCUGCUAGAGGAUCGGAGGGGAGACUGGAAUUCUCGGUGUAGCAGUGAAAUGCGUAGAUAUCGAGAGGAACACCAGUGGCGAAGGCGAGUCUCUGGACGAUACCUGACGCUGAGGCACGAAAGCCAGGGGAGCAAACGGGAUUAGAUACCCUGGUAGUCC
This 290-nucleotide ribosomal RNA is filed under the name uncultured bacterium. Its description in RNAcentral is "partial 16S ribosomal RNA". It matches the Rfam family "Bacterial small subunit ribosomal RNA", at positions 506 to 796 of the family's 1533-position model. The record is from RNAcentral.